RNAcentral lists this ribosomal RNA (487 nucleotides) under uncultured bacterium. RNAcentral's name for it is "bacterial SSU rRNA". It matches the Rfam family "Bacterial small subunit ribosomal RNA", at positions 1 to 507 of the family's 1533-position model. The record is from RNAcentral.
GUUUGAUCAGUGGCUACAGGACGAACGCUGGCGGCGUGCUUAACACAUGCAAGUCGAACGGUGACGGGGAGCUUGCUCCCCUGAUCAGUGGCGAACGGGUGAGUAACACGUGGGCAAUCUGCCCCUGACUUCGGGAUAACGCUUUGAAAGAGGUGCCAAUACCGGAUAUGAACCUCGCAGGCAUCUGCGAGGUUGGAAAGUUUCUCGGGUCAGGGAUGAGCCCGCGGCCUAUCAGCUAGUUGGUGAGGGUAAUGGCUCACCCAAGGCGACGACGGGUAGCCGGCCUGAGAGGGCGACCGGCCACACUGGGACUGAGACACGGCCCAGACUCCUACGGGAGGCAGCAGUGGGGAAUAUUGCGCAAUGGGCGAAAGCCUGACGCAGCAACGCCGCGUGAGGGAUGACGGCCUUCGGGUUGUAAACCUCUUUCAGCAGGGAAGAAGCGAAAGUGACGGUACCUGCAGAAGAAGCACCGGCUAACUACGUG